GCAAGUGAGUGGUGCUGGGGUGCUGGGGAGGACUGUCCUGGCCAGCAGGGGCCUCCCAGCCUAGUAAUAAGGACACAGCAAUUACAGGAACUUCUAGAGCCAGUUCCCUUCAGGAGCGUGCCAGGCUGAGGCUUUGUCCUAUGGAGAAGCAGAAAAGGUCAGAGGAGGAGAAAGAAAGAGCCCUUCCCCAUCAAGGAGCCAGUGAGAGUGUGAGACAAAAGGAAACUCCAUGGAGGAAAACAUCAAGCAACUCCAGCGAAGCUGAUCUAGUCUUCAAAUACAUCAAUACUACAAAAGACUGGAAAGGGCAGAGGAAUUGCUCCAUAUCAGCGUCAUGACAGUACAAUCUACAACCCUGGACUGGAUCCUGUCUCUGAGAAAUUACCAACAGAGCAAAUGAAAUCGGAAUAGAGAGUACAGAUCAGAUGAAAGUACCAUCUGAAUGGGAGACUGCUGGAUUUAUGUGCUUGAGUGAGACUAUGUGCUUGCUCUUGUGAAGUGCGUGUAUAAUAUUAAAGCAUAGAGGGCUGGGUAUCUGCACUAUCUCUCAAAUGGGCUAAAUAAAAAGGUAUAUAUCAAGGAAUAGAAAGUUAUAAAGCAAACACAGGAAUCAUCAUCACAAAAGAAGAUAACAUGUGUAGCAAUGAGUGUUUUUUUCUUUUAUUUAAUUUUCUCCCACACAAGCAAUAUUGACAUUGAUAUGUAAGUGUAUAUUUCUGGAGUAUGAAAACUUUCAGUACUACUCAAAUCCUCCAUGUAAGGCAAGCAGUGAAAACAUUCUUUAGGGGUUGGUUGUCAACAUAUGUACAAAGGGCUAUCUAUAUCUCUUCCAGGAAGCAUAGUACUACAGGCUCCAGAGUUUUCUAUAUGAAUGCACAAACUUCUGCACUCAUGUGUAAUUGUAUCUUUUUGAUGGCAAUAGUAUCUAAGUAUUUGUCAUUUCCAUGUUUACUUUACUAAAGCUUUAAUGCAGAUACCAUAUUUUCUUUUCAUACUUUCUCGCUGGAGCAGUGUCUGAAGUGUGUAUUCUCAGCUAACAGACUCAGUGUGUGGGUUAUAGCAUUAACAUAAUAUGAAGAUGUGUGAUGUUUGUUUCCUGUUCUGCAGUGCAGCACCAAUGGAGAGGUCAGACAGAGGAGGACCUGAGUCCAAGACUGGACCAACUUGUGAGAGAAAAGCACUCAGAUAUGUCUGUAAAAUGAGAGGCAUUAGAGGUUUAAGUCCUAGGUUGACAUAAAGUUAAUCAACCCAGCUUUUAAUGGGUCUGUGAUACUCAGAUUGGGUUCAAUUGUAAAUUCCUCAUUAAACUUCUAUUUUUUAUAAGUCA
Long non-coding RNA from Mastomys coucha (southern multimammate mouse), 1327 nucleotides. RefSeq lists it as uncharacterized. The record is from RefSeq and is a predicted model, not a curated record. NCBI's taxonomy places the organism in Eukaryota, Metazoa, Chordata, Mammalia, Rodentia, Muridae. The transcript has 2 exons.